Molecule: ribosomal RNA, 650 nt
Filed under: Bacillus sp. (in: firmicutes)
Lineage: Bacteria; Bacillati; Bacillota; Bacilli; Caryophanales; Bacillaceae
Description: bacterial SSU rRNA
Rfam family: Bacterial small subunit ribosomal RNA
Source: RNAcentral
CGUGCCUAAUACAUGCAAGUCGAGCGGACAUUUGAGAGCUUGCUCUCAAAUGUUAGCGGCGGACGGGUGAGUAACACGUGGGUAACCUGCCUGUAAGAUUGGGAUAACUCCGGGAAACCGGAGCUAAUACCGGAUAACAUUUUGAACCGCAUGGUUCGAAAUUGAAAGAUGGCCUUUGGCUAUCACUUACAGAUGGACCCGCGGCGCAUUAGCUAGUUGGUGAGGUAAUGGCUCACCAAGGCGACGAUGCGUAGCCGACCUGAGAGGGUGAUCGGCCACACUGGGACUGAGACACGGCCCAGACUCCUACGGGAGGCAGCAGUAGGGAAUCUUCCGCAAUGGACGAAAGUCUGACGGAGCAACGCCGCGUGAACGAUGAAGGCCUUCGGGUCGUAAAGUUCUGUUGUUAGGGAAGAACAAGUACCAGAGUAACUGCUGGUACCUUGACGGUACCUAACCAGAAAGCCACGGCUAACUACGUGCCAGCAGCCGCGGUAAUACGUAGGUGGCAAGCGUUGUCCGGAAUUAUUGGGCGUAAAGCGCGCGCAGGCGGUUUUUUAAGUCUGAUGUGAAAGCCCACGGCUCAACCGUGGAGGGUCAUUGGAAACUGGAGAACUUGAGUGCAGAAGAGGAGAGCGGAAUUCCACGUG